GAGUUUGAUCGUGGCUCAGAGUGAACGCUGGCGGUAGGCCUAACACGUGCAAGUCGAACGGCAGCACAGUAAGAGCUUGCUCUUACGGGUGGCGAGUGGCGGACGGGUGAGGAAUACAUCGGAAUCUACUUUUUCGUGGGGGAUAACGUAGGGAAACUUACGCUAAUACCGCAUACGACCUACGGGUGAAAGCAGGGGAUCUUCGGACCUUGCGCGAUUGAAUGAGCCGAUGUCGGAUUAGCUAGUUGGCGGGGUAAAGGCCCACCAAGGCGACGAUCCGUAGCUGGUCUGAGAGGAUGAUCAGCCACACUGGAACUGAGACACGGUCCAGACUCCUACGGGAGGCAGCAGUGGGGAAUAUUGGACAAUGGGCGGCAAGCCUGAUCCAGCCAUACCGCGUGGGUGAAGAAGGCCUUC
RNAcentral lists this ribosomal RNA (417 nucleotides) under uncultured microorganism. RNAcentral describes it as "bacterial SSU rRNA". It matches the Rfam family "Bacterial small subunit ribosomal RNA", at positions 9 to 419 of the family's 1533-position model. The record is from RNAcentral.